GAAAGAAAUAGAAGUCCAGGGCCGAAUGGGUUUGCUGUUCAAUUUUAUCAAAAAAAUUGGAAGAUGGUCAAAAAUGACUUGGAAAAAAUAUUGGAUGAUUUCCAUAGUGGAAAAAUUGACCUAGCUAGGCUUAACUAUGGAAUUAUUACCCUGAUCACUAAGGUGAAAGAUGCUAAACAGAUUUAAAAAUUUAGACCCAUCUGUCUGCUGAAUGUUAGUUUUAAAAUCAUUACUAAAGUCUUGAUGAAUAGACUUAGUAAAGUGGUAAAUCCCAUAAUCUCUCCUAUCAAAACGGCUUUUGUCAAGGGUAGGCAUAUUAUAGAGGGAGUGUUUAUCUUACAUGAAGCCUUAAAUUCUAUACAUACUAAAAAGCAAAAUGCUAUGCUAUCCAAGGAUGACUUUGAAAAAGCAUACGAUAAGAUUAAGUGGCCUUUUGUCCACAAAAUGCUGAGACUAAAACACUUCCCCGACAAAUGGUGUGAUUGGGUGAUGCACACCAUGCGAGGGGUUCAGGUGGGGGUGAAAGUUAAUGAUAGUGUGGGACAUUUCUUCAAAACUUUCAAAGGACUCAGGCAGGGGGAUUCUCUCUCUCCUCUACUAUUUGAUCUAGAAGUAGAUGCCCUCGCCAUGAUUAUGGAUAAGGCUAGGAUUGAAGGGUAUAUUAAAGGGGUCCUCACUGAGGUUCAUGAUAAUGGAGUGAAUAUGUUAUAA
This 711-nucleotide ribosomal RNA is filed under the name Triticum aestivum (bread wheat). Its description in RNAcentral is "partial small subunit ribosomal RNA". Lineage: Eukaryota; Viridiplantae; Streptophyta; Magnoliopsida; Poales; Poaceae. The record is from RNAcentral.